RNAcentral lists this ribosomal RNA (486 nucleotides) under uncultured bacterium. RNAcentral describes it as "partial 16S ribosomal RNA". It matches the Rfam family "Bacterial small subunit ribosomal RNA", at positions 30 to 507 of the family's 1533-position model. The record is from RNAcentral.
AUUGAACGCUGGCGGCAUGCCUUACACAUGCAAGUCGAACGGCAGCACGGGUGCUUGCACCUGGUGGCGAGUGGCGAACGGGUGAGUAAUACAUCGGAACAUGUCCUGUAGUGGGGGAUAGCCCGGCGAAAGCCGGAUUAAUACCGCAUACGAUCUACGGAUGAAAGCGGGGGACCUUCGGGCCUCGCGCUAUAGGGUUGGCCGAUGGCUGAUUAGCUAGUUGGUGGGGUAAAGGCCUACCAAGGCGACGAUCAGUAGCUGGUCUGAGAGGACGACCAGCCACUCUGGGACUGAGACACGGCCCAGACUCCUACGGGAGGCAGCAGUGGGGAAUUUUGGACAAUGGGCGAAAGCCUGAUCCAGCAAUGCCGCGUGUGUGAAGAAGGCCUUCGGGUUGUAAAGCACUUUUGUCCGGAAAGAAAUCCUUGGCUCUAAUACAGUCGGGGGAUGACGGUACCGGAAGAAUAAGCACCGGCUAACUACGUG